UCAAUAGGCGUUAAGGGAAUGAAGAAGAAGAAGGGGAAAGAAAGAAGGAAAUACAAUAUCUGAAGAUGAGAAAGGAAUACCAGAAACAAAGAAAAGGGAGAAUAGAAAAGGGCAAUGUGUGUGGACGAGAAGAAAUUGAAGGAAGGAAUAGAAGGAAAGAAGGAGAGAAGGAAAUGCAGAAGAAAGAAGAAGGAGAGGAAUCAAAGAAGGAAGGAAGAACAUUAUGCGUAGACGAAAAUAAACUGAAAGAAGGAUAGACUGAAGGAAAAUAAUGAAGGAAAUGAAUGAAGGAAGGAAGGAUAAGGAGGAUGAGCGGGUGGGUGAUGAAUUCAGUGGAAGGGGAGGGUGGAGGAAGUGAAGUGGACUGGGGCGGACAACGAGGGUAAUGGGGUGAGUUGUGGGGAGAUUACAUUAACCAAUUGAAGGGGUGGGGAGAGAAAAGGGGGGAGGGGGGAGAGAGGAAGGGGGGAGAGAGGGGAUGAAGGAAGGGGGGAGGGGGGUUAACCAGACAGGGAGUGGGGAGAGAGAAAAGUGGGGAGGGGGGAGAGAGGAGGAGGGGAGAGGGGAGAUGGAGAUAGGGGGGGAGGGGGGUUAACCUGACAGCUUCCCUAAAAUUAUGUAAGUGGAAAUGCGGUUACACACACACACACACACACACACACACACACACACACACACACACACACACACACACGCAUAUUACGACCAACACACGGCAGCGAUUCAAAUACAAGUUAUAUAAAAAAAAAAAGAUCUACAAAAUAAUGAUGACUCACUAAAUUACUAUCUAUAUCAAUGUUUGCGUAUCUUUUUCUUGUGUUUUUUUCUUGUUUUUUUUUUUAUAAGUAUGUAAUGUGUGUGUGUGUGUGUGUGUGUGUGUGUGUGUGUGUGUGUGUGUUUCUUGCUUUUAAAUAGAUAGAUAGAUAGAUAGAUAGAUAGAUAGAUAGAGAGAGAGAGAGAGAGAGAGAGAGAGAGAGAGAGAGAGAGAGAGAGAGAGAGAGAGAGAGAGAGAGAGAGAGAGAGAGAGAGAGAGAGAGAGAGAGAGAGAGAGAUCCACCUAGACACAUACAGACAAACAUACAAGCACCAACACAGAAACGCACAGAGAAAAGACAAAGAAACAAACAAACAAACAAACAAACAAACAAUGACACACAGACAAACAAACAGACACACACAAACAGACAAACACACGAAUAUAAACAACAAACAAGUGAGAGUCUUUCCACACAUUGAAUACAAAUAGAAAAAAAAAUAACUGCCCUGCUUUUCCUUUUCUCAUAUAUACAAAUUACUUUACAAAUUACGACUUUUUGCAUUACUAAUAAAUAAAUAAAUAAAUAAAUAAAUAAAUAAAAUAAAUAACGUAAACCUAAUCUAACCUAAUCAUAACCUCAGUAAAAUCAAAGAAAAACAAAGAAAAAAAUAUUAUAUGUAUUAGUGUUUCUAUCUUAUUUUUUCUUCUAUUUCCUAUUAUUAUUAUUAUUUUCCUAUCCUAUCUUUUUUUUCUUUCUUUUUUCUUGUUUUCAGUGUUAAGAAAAUAGAAAAGGAAGAGAAGAAUAUAUAUAAUGUGACUGAGACAUAAUAAAAAAGUGUGUGUGUGUGUGUGUGUGUGUACCGCGUAGCAACACCUGAGUUAUAUACAUGGUCGCAGGUGAGGUGUUAGUAAGAGUAAUAAAGGUUAAUUAAUAGCUACAGGUGUUACGUGAGUGAGUCAAUACCUGUGAAAGUCUACGGUGUUUGGAAUGCAUGUUUGAGAAGAGAAAGAAAAGAAAGAAAAAGAAACGAAAAAGAAAAUGUGACACAGAGGAACAGGAGAAGCCAUGACGGGAGGAAGAGGAAGAGGAGAAGGAGGAGGAGGAGGAGGAGGAGGAGGGGAAGUGUAUAAAUAUAUGACAGUUCUAUAUGUAAUAAUAAGUAUGUCAAAUGUAGUAUAUUUUUUUUCCUUUCUAAAACCUAUUCAUGUUGCGAGGAGGAGAAGGAGGAGGAGGAGGCGGAGACGAGGAGGAGGAGGAGGAGGAGGAAGGAGAGGAGGAGGAGGAAAAUGGAGGAGGAUUUGACAUUGAAGGAAAGAGAUGUGGUGUAAACAGUGAUAGAUAUACAGACAGAUAGAUAGAUAGACAGAUACGGAUAGAUAGACGGUAUAUUUAUGGUGUUUCGCGUACAUUAUCUAUUAUAUUUGCAUUCUUCUUGAGUUAGCGAGUGGGUUGCAAGAAGAGACAAAAAGUGAAAGCGAGGCAAAAGUGAGGGAAAGAUAUAUAGCAAAACAGCUUAUGAAUGAGUUGGCUGAAUUUACAAAUCUUUCUCGGGUAUAUAAUAAAAAGGAGAGAGAGAGGAAAAUAAGAGAAUCAAAGGAAGAAAGGCGAAAACAAGAGAGACAGACAUGGGUUAGGUUAGUUUAAAUCUUACUUGUCCAUAUAAGCAGGGGAAAAAAAAGGAGGAAAAUGGGAAAAAAGAGAGAGGAAAAUAAGAGAAUCAACAGAAGAAAGGCGAAAACAAGAGAGACAGACAUGGGUUAGGUUAGUUUAAAUCUUCCUUGACCAAAUAAGCAGGAAAAAAAGGAGGAAAAUGAGA
Eriocheir sinensis (Chinese mitten crab) is the source of this 2574-nucleotide long non-coding RNA. RefSeq lists it as uncharacterized. The record is from RefSeq and is a predicted model, not a curated record. The transcript has 2 exons. Lineage: Eukaryota; Metazoa; Arthropoda; Malacostraca; Decapoda; Varunidae.